Molecule: long non-coding RNA, 1731 nt
Organism: Esox lucius (northern pike)
Lineage: Eukaryota; Metazoa; Chordata; Actinopteri; Esociformes; Esocidae
Source: Ensembl
GGCCUGUGCCGGCGGCUCCGGGCGCUGAGCCUCCGCCGGUCCGGGUGUGGUCGUCCCGGUCUUGCGGUCGGGAGCCCGCGCCUUUGGGGGGGGGUACUGUCACGUCCUGGCUGUGCCCCCAGCCAUCUCUGCGCUGGGCUCGGGGCAUAGCCAGGACAGGACAGGAGGUGGCCUUUAGCCACCUCUACUCCUUUUUUUGGUUUCCCCAAUUGGAGGCAGGUGUUAGUUAUUGCCUCCAAUUGGGGACCCUAUUUAAGUUUAGUUUGUAGGCCCCAAGGCGUGGUUCAUUUUGGUUUUGUUUAUCCUGUGUAAGGAAUACCCACGUCACUGGUUGCUGCCUUUUGUUUUAUUGGAGUCCUUCUUUAUUUUUUCAUUAAAUAUGGAUUACCUUCCCUACCUUUACUCUGCGCCUGUGUCCUUUUCAUCCCACGACCGUGACAGGCUCACACCCUCAAAUACAUCACUGAUCUGGCAAACGCAACUCACUUCUCAAACACAACAGCAACCCGGGAAGCGCAACUCACCUUGCAGAUCACAAUCAUCGGAAUUCUAGUCACCUGUUCACUCACCUGUUGUUCAUCAGCACCACUAUUUAGUUUCCCUCCAGUCCACACUGUCUUUGUGAGGUGUUGUUUUGUAGUCCCGCAACUUUCGUUGAGUAUUUUCUGUUAGUAUUGUCUACCGUGUACCGAAUUGCUUUUGUCCUCUUUAACUGACCACGUUUUGCCUCAUCCUCUUGUACCUUCGCUCCAGAGAUCCUGACCUUGACCUACUGCCUGUUCCCUCACUACGACCAUCGUUUUACUCUUCUGGUAACUUUGACUACACUGGUUGGAGGCUCCCGUUUUUUUACUCUUGCCUGUUAUUACUGACUAUCCCCCUGUAUUUACGCUAUGUACCAUUGCCUCUAUUAAACCAGUGCUCUGCGCUUGAAUCUUUACCUUUCUCCUUGGAAUCAUUACAAGAAAUAUAACCCUACAACUCCUCUCAGUUUUAUUCCUGGUACAAAUUGUGCUAAUUCUGGGCAGGUCAUAACUUGCUAGCUAACCUACAUAAAAUACCAGCUAUGAUUUAUCAGAUCAAUACUCAUUCACUGUCUGUGACUGUCUGUUUUUUUGACAUUCUAGUUUCUUUUGUCAAAGGUGAAGAGGUGACUCUGGAAUGCUGGCCUUCUAGGCAGAGUUACAAAGAAAAGACAUAUCUCAGACUGGCAAGUGAAAAGAAAAGACACAAACAUUGGUCUGAGGAAGAACCAGGAAGUCCAGCAGCCUGGUGUCGCCUCUUCUCUGUUGAUGUUGAGACUGGUGUUUUGCGUGUACUAUUAAAUAAAGCUGCCAGAACCUGUGAGGCAUCUGUUUCUUAAACUAGACUCUAAUGUAUUUGUCCUCUUCCUCAGUUGUGCAUCCCAAUUCUGGUUAGAGGCAGUUUGCGCUGUUCUGUGAAGGGAGUACUACACAUCUCUUUGGUUCCUUGGCAAUUUCUCACAUGUAAUUGCCUUCAAUUCUCAGAACAAUAAUGGACUGACGAGUUCCAGAAGAAAGUGCUUUGUUUCUGGCCAUUUUGAGCCAGUAAUCCAACCUAAAAUUGCUGAUGCUGUAGAUGCUGAACUAGUCUACAGAAGCAAUGGACAGUGGUAGCAGGGUUGUGUUUGCAGUCAUCAUGAUAAUGGCAUGCAUGGGAACGAGAGCUAAUGGACUUAGCUCCAUAACAGCACCGAAUACAUUGCCCUCG